This 1168-nucleotide long non-coding RNA is filed under the name Chrysemys picta bellii (western painted turtle). RNAcentral's name for it is "lncRNA (ENSCPBG00000016588.1)". Lineage: Eukaryota; Metazoa; Chordata; Testudines; Emydidae. The record is from RNAcentral.
AAAUCCAGAUUGCUGUCGGGUCCCAGUCAAAAUCUGGCAUCCAUUACUGAGCAGGUUGAGGUGGGACCCUGAGGUAGUGAAGCCCCUGGAAGCUCAGGUCUCUAUACUAGCACCCACGUAGGACAAGCUAAGAAAAUAAGGAAAAUCAUUUGCUUUACUUUUUCCCCCCUCUCAUGUGAUCUUUUUUUUGGACUUGGCACAAGAACUAUUUUGGGGCUGGACAUGAGCCCAGGUGAAAGGACAUGGAUUUCAUCCAGUCUGCCUCCCCCAUGUGCUUGGAGGGCUCCAGGGAGCUUUGAACAGCUGCCGUGAUGAUGGGCUUAAAAGCUUCUCAGUUAGGUGUGGUGUUCUCACUGAUUCUUUCCUAUUGUCUGGUGUAACCCUCGAGCAGCAAAGCCAUUUUUCUCCCCGAACAGCUGCGCUGUGGUCAGAGAUGGUUUGUGAUGAGUGGAACUGCAAUUUGUACAUCGCCCUGAAUUCACAUGGGACUUGCUCUCCCUCCACAUGCAGUUUCCUUAUUUGCCAGUACACUAUAAACCAGUUUUGCUUUGUAUUCUCAAUGUACUAUGCAUACGGCAGGGCCUCAGUAUGAAGCAGGAUUGCUUGAGUUCUUGUAAAUGAUAUGACAGGAAUGCUGUGUGGAAGCCAAAGGCAAAUAUCUAACAGGCCAUUAGGACUAAUGGUCAACAACUUGUCAAACACUGGCACCUGCAGUCUAACAAGCUGCAUUGCUUCAGUCCGUGAACCUACCUGUUUCCUGCCCGGAAUACCAGCGGUAGGAGGCAAAGCUGUUCAGUCACUCAGAGAGCACAGAGCUGGCAAAGCCCUGUCAGAUGUUGGAGGUUUUGAAAGACAGUGUGUUUGUGAAAGACAAUGGUGUUUGUGGAAUUGCUUCUCUCUUGCUCUCGGAGGCCCAUUGACAGCUGAACAAGAGGAGGGUUUGCUUUUGUCACGGUGCUCAAGAGCCUAUUUGCUACAAUAAGAAUAGCUGGCACAUCUGCAGUGCCCUACAGCUGAGGGCCUUGAUGCCUUUUGAAAACACUGAUUAAUGAAACUUCAACACCCCUCUGAAGCCUCAGUCAAUGCAGUUCCCUUUGGUACCCCUGGUAAGUGUCCUUUUUACAGAGGGGGAAACUGAGGCACAGAUUGGUGACUUGAGCUGCCCAUG